CGAAUGUACUCAUAUAUUUCAUCUGCACGCCAUACUAGUAUCUCCAUACUCUUGGUUAAGAGGACAACCAACUCAUAUGGCAUACAAUGAUCUACAUUUGAUAUUGCUAUCAUCCUAUUAAUAGUAUAUUAUUUGGUCGAGAACACAUUUAAGGACUAAAUGAUAAAUCCUCCUUUAUCAAUUAAAUAUAGUCUUAAGGACUUUAUCACAACACAGAAGUUCUAAGAAGAUGGUCAAAAUGUGAUGAAAAGACCAAAUAUUAUUUAUUAAUAAAAAUU
RNAcentral lists this long non-coding RNA (278 nucleotides) under Elaeis guineensis (African oil palm). Its description in RNAcentral is "long non-coding RNA (EGUI_LNC059224)". Lineage: Eukaryota; Viridiplantae; Streptophyta; Magnoliopsida; Arecales; Arecaceae. The record is from RNAcentral.